UGAGCAAUCUGCCCUUCUCAUCGGAAUAAGCGUUGGAAACGACGUCUAAUGCCGAAUACGACCUCCUUUCGCAUGAUCGGAGGUGGAAAGCUCCGGCGGAGAAAGAUGAGCUCGCGGCCUAUCAGCUUGUUGGUGUGGGUAAUGGCCCACCAAGGCGACGACGGGUAGCCGGCCUGAGAGGGUGACCGGCCACACUGGGACUGAGACACGGCCCAGACUCCGUACGGGAGCAG
RNAcentral lists this ribosomal RNA (233 nucleotides) under uncultured bacterium. RNAcentral describes it as "partial 16S ribosomal RNA". It matches the Rfam family "Bacterial small subunit ribosomal RNA", at positions 118 to 347 of the family's 1533-position model. The record is from RNAcentral.